Molecule: ribosomal RNA, 478 nt
Filed under: uncultured bacterium
Lineage: Bacteria
Description: SSU rRNA
Rfam family: Bacterial small subunit ribosomal RNA
Source: RNAcentral
AGAGUGAACGCUGGCGGCAGGCCUAACACAUGCAAGUCGAGCGGCAGCGCAGCGGUAGCAAUACUGUGGGCGGCGAGCGGCGGACGGGUGAGGAACACAUCGGAAUCUACCCUGUCGUGGGGGACAACGUAGGGAAACUUACGCUAAUACCGCAUACGACCUUUGGGUGAAAGCGGGGGACUCGCAAGAGCCUCGCGCGAUUGGAUGAGCCGAUGUCCGAUUAGCUAGUUGGCGGGGUAAUGGCCCACCAAGGCGACGAUCGGUAGCUGGUCUGAGAGGACGACCAGCCACACUGGAACUGAGACACGGUCCAGACUCCUACGGGAGGCAGCAGUGGGGAAUAUUGGACAAUGGGGGCAACCCUGAUCCAGCCAUGCCGCGUGGGUGAAGAAGGCCUUCGGGUUGUAAAGUCCUUUUAACGGGGAAGAUAAUGACGGUACCGUAGAAUAAGCCCGGCUAACUUCGUGCCAGCAGCCGC